UGCAUCUUCCUCCUGUUUGGUGCGGGGAGGCAGCAUGCCCUCUCCAUAUGGCGCUUGGCAGAACCGUCACCAUGUGGCCCUGGGAGCUAUGGAAACCCUGCGUCUACAGCCGCCCUGGGAGUCACCAAGCCAACCCGCCCCUGGAGAGCCAGGCCCUCGGUGCACCUGGGAGCUGCAAAGUGUGGUCUGUGGGUCCACCUGACCCUUUUCCACCGUCUUUCCUCGGGCGACGCCUUUGCUGUGCGCUCGCAGCGGAUGGGGAGAGAUGUGCCAAGUGCAAAGCCUGGGCGGAGAGCUGGCCUGAAGCCAGGGCAGCAGCAGGAUGGCCCCAGGAGGCCGAGCUGGUUUCCGCCUCCCGGGAUGGAGGAAGCCGCCGGCCUGGUCCCUGAGGAGACACUUGUGGACGAAGCCCCCCCCGUGGACGAUGGUAACUGAUAGAGGCCUUGUCACCAAUCACACGUUUCAUUCAACAGCAGAGAAGGCAAAUGAUGUGCUUCCUAGUUGCCCUUUAGUCGCCUUUUGUCAGAGAGGCUGCAUCUUGGAAACCCCUGUUUUUUCUCAGGAAGGUAGCGUCUCUUAUCCUGCCUUUAGUGGGACGAGACGUUGCAGCCGAGACGUCUGAGAGUGACAAGUCUGAGGCCACUUUUGUUUUCUGUUCCUGGAAGCUUUUAUUUUAUUUUAUUUUAUUUUAUUUAUUUAUUUAUUUAUUUGCCUUUUCUAGGGCCGCUCCCGUGGCACAUGGAGGUUCCCAGGCUAGGGGUCGAAUCGGAGCUGUAGCUGCCGUCCUACACCACAGCCACAGUCACAGCAACACAGGAUCCGAGCCAUGUCUGUGACCUACAGCACAGCGCACGGCAACACCGGAUCCUUAACCCACUGAGCAAGGGGCAGAGACCGAACCUGCAACCUCAUGGUUCCUAGUUGGAUUCGUUAACCACUGAGGCACGACAGGAACUCCAAUCUUUUCCUGGAAGCUUUUAGAUGUUAAAAAAAAAAAAAACAACAACAACAGAUGAUCUGCCAUUUCUGAGAUCUGCCCUGAUUUGGGCCGGAGCUGGACGCCAGGCAGGACACCAGGCAGGACACCAGGCAGGACACCAGGCUGGACACCAGGCGGGACCCCAGGCAGGAUAGUCUGACCUGGAAACGCCUCCUCGCCCCCCGCCCCACCCCAGGUGUUCUGCUGAGUCAGCCCCACGUGUCUUCUGAUGGUGGGUUGACUCCUAGAAUUUUGCUUCAGUCAUCCCACUGAGGUUUAAUGACGGAGCGAGCAGCCCAAGCCGUGGUGUUUGCCGUGUUUUCCUGCAUGUCUGCAGUGAGUUCUAGGACAGUAAUUCCCCGACUGUUUUGCCAGGGAACACCUCCUUUUUUUUUUUUUUUUUUUUUUUUUUUUUUUUUGGCCAUUCCUGUGACAUGCAAAAGUUCCCCGGCCAGCCAUCAAGCCCACAUCAUAGCAGUGACCUGAGCUACAGCAGUGACAGCACCAGACCCUUCACCUGCUGGGACACCAGGGAGCUCCCCCCUUACAUGCCCAAAAAGUACUGACCCAAAGGGCUUUGGUGCUUAUAUCUUUCAGUGUUGACCAUAUUAAAGCGAAAGCUGGAUCUCUCGUCGUGGUGCAGUGGAACAGAAUCCAACUAGUUUCCAUGAGGAUGCAGGUUCAAUCUCUGCCCUCACUCAGUGGGUUAAGGAUCCGGCGUUGCCAUGAGCUGUGGUGUAGGUUGCAGAUGCAGCUCAGAUCCCAUGUUGCUGUGGCUGUGGGGUAGAUCGGCGGCUACAGCCCAGAUUUGACCCCUAGCCUGGGAACUUCCAUAUGCCAAGGGUGUAGCCCCAAAAAGCAAAAAAUAAAAAAAUAAAACUAAAGCUAAGGAGUUCCCA
This 1878-nucleotide long non-coding RNA is filed under the name Sus scrofa (pig). Its description in RNAcentral is "lncRNA (ENSSSCG00055002237.1)". Lineage: Eukaryota; Metazoa; Chordata; Mammalia; Artiodactyla; Suidae. The record is from RNAcentral.